This 236-nucleotide ribosomal RNA is filed under the name uncultured bacterium. Its description in RNAcentral is "partial 16S ribosomal RNA". It matches the Rfam family "Bacterial small subunit ribosomal RNA", at positions 104 to 334 of the family's 1533-position model. The record is from RNAcentral.
CGGGACGGGGUGGAGUAAUGUCUGGGAAACUGCCUGAUGGAGGGGGAUAACUACUGGAAACGGUAGCUAAUACCGCAUAACGUCGCAAGACCAAAGAGGGGGACCGUUCGGGCCUCUUGCCAUCGGAUGUGCCCAGAUGGGAUUAGCUAGUAGGUGGGGUAACGGCUCACCUAGGCGACGAUCCCUAGCUGGUCUGAGAGGAUGGCCAGCCACACUGGAACUGAGACACGGUCCAG